AGUCGGCAGCUCACUAUCCUUCAUCAGUCCCCAGGUUUGACCGUUUCUCAAACCGACCCUUCCCAUUUAUGCUGCAUCCGCGCCCAGAAUCUGAAAUUGAUCGUCCUGCCACACCGCCUCAUCGCGGUAUAAGGUCGUCCCAUCCUCAAUGGCCGGUGCGCAGACUCAAUUGCGACUUUGAGGCUGUCAGCGGCCACCCGGCAACGUUCCAGAGAACAGGAUUCUGGGUUUCUCAAAGCUGUAAUGGGAGAGCCACUCCAGAGGUGUUAAAGCUCCAGCACUUCCAGCCUGCCUCAUGGGAAGGUCUUAGGCUGAGUCUAUAGGUGCCUGCAGUAAGAAGCCAGCGGUCUGCAUAUGAUUGUCCAGGGGUAGUGGCUGGGUACCAACAGCAUUCACUACAGGCCUGCCUUGGAUACCGCCUAACGCAGUGCUCUGCAUACCACAGGGGCUGGAAACCUAACAAUUUCACUUCCUAGACUACUUGCUAAAAGUCACCUAAAAA
Molecule: long non-coding RNA, 502 nt
Organism: Mandrillus leucophaeus (drill)
Lineage: Eukaryota; Metazoa; Chordata; Mammalia; Primates; Cercopithecidae
Exons: 3
Source: RefSeq, a predicted model, not a curated record